Molecule: long non-coding RNA, 672 nt
Filed under: Triticum aestivum (bread wheat)
Lineage: Eukaryota; Viridiplantae; Streptophyta; Magnoliopsida; Poales; Poaceae
Description: long non-coding RNA (TAES_LNC015303)
Source: RNAcentral
GGGAUACUUGAAGCUAGGGCAAUCCAAGUAAGAUAGCUUCAUCCUCAGGCAACAGGUUUAUGUUAUCUUAUCAUGGAGUCAUUUUUAAGUUUGUGCCCAACGCCUUCAUCCUUAGAAUGGCUGCCCAGAUGGCAAGCCACCGUACUCAGGCGACUGCCGCGCUAGGUAUUCUCGACCACUGCUGCAGUUUUUCAUUGCCGUGCUUAUUCCAUUUGCACCAACCUUGCUAUUUAGUAAAAUGAACGUCUCUGUUUCUUCUACUACAAUGACAUGAUAAGAUUACCUUAUCCCUUUCAGCAGGGUGCUCCAACUUUUGAUGCUGGCGAAGCUUUUGGAAUGAUGGCUACAUAAUUUGUUAGUCUCCGUUGGAAGCUUAAUUAAACUGAGGUAAAUAUGCCAGAUUCUUUUGUCAAAUAAUAACAUGACUGUCUAUUUUGUUCUUAGGACCAAUAUCUGUGCCUAUCAAUGAAAUUUUGAGAGUAGUUUUUGGUGCCUCUAUGUAACCCUGAUAGCAGCUUCUCUGAAGGUUCAGAUGUGUGGCAAAGGAUUUCAAUUUUCCUGUUUACACAAAGGAAACUUGAGGAAGGUUCAGAUUUUUCAUGCUCGGUGCUGUGCUCUCAAGGUUACAUAGACAAAAAUGCCUCCUAUUUACACAACGGCAACCCGACGAAG